Molecule: ribosomal RNA, 495 nt
Filed under: uncultured bacterium
Lineage: Bacteria
Description: partial 16S ribosomal RNA
Rfam family: Bacterial small subunit ribosomal RNA
Source: RNAcentral
UGACCGCUGGCGGCGUGCCUAAUACAUGCACGUCGAGCGAACGGACGAGAAGCUUGCUUCUCUGAUGUUAGCGGCGGACGGGUGAGUAACACGUGGAUAACCUACCUAUAAGACUGGGAUAACUUCGGGAAACCGGAGCUAAUACCGGAUAAUAUUUUGAACCGCAUGGUUCAAAAGUGAAAGACGGUCUUGCUGUCACUUAUAGAUGGAUCCGCGCUGCAUUAGCUAGUUGGUAAGGUAACGGCUUACCAAGGCAACGAUGCAUAGCCGACCUGAGAGGGUGAUCGGCCACACUGGAGCUGAGACACGGUCCAGACUCCUACGGGAGGCAGCAGUAGGGAAUCUUCCGCAAUGGGCGAAAGCCUGACGGAGCAACGCCGCGUGAGUGAUGAAGGUCUUCGGAUCGUAAAACUCUGUUAUUAGGGAAGAACAUAUGUGUAAGUAACUGUGCACAUCUUGACGGUACCUAAUCAGAAAGCCACGGCUAACUACGUG